Molecule: long non-coding RNA, 7254 nt
Organism: Coturnix japonica (Japanese quail)
Lineage: Eukaryota; Metazoa; Chordata; Aves; Galliformes; Phasianidae
Source: RefSeq, a predicted model, not a curated record
GCUGCUGAAAUAGAACAUAUUUGAAGAAAAAAAAUUAAACGCAUACUCAAAAAACUAUUUGAAGCUGACAUUGUUGGCAAGAUAAAACAACCAAACUGUAUUUCAAAGAAAGAAACAAGAUAAAAGUUACAGCAUUUAAAAACAUAGCAAUAUCAGGUGUAGAGAAAGCUCAGACCAGUGUGUUUGCAGACAAUAUGAAGAAAGGCUCAGCUUCACACAAAAAAGCAACAGAAGAUUAGAAGUACCAUAAUUUCAUUAAGUACAAUUGCUGUAAAGUAUUCAUUUUCAUUCUCUCCCUCUGAAGUAUCAGACUGCAGGAAAAGUAGAAAGAAUAGUAAAGAAACAUUAAUAUUUUUUAAGCUAGACUUAAGAUUACAUAGAUAAACUCUGAAAUGCUAAAGGUAAUUUUCAGUAUAUGAACGAGGGUGUAGAUGGCUCCUUCUACAAUUUCCAAUAAAGUAAAAGCAAAUGAGAUUGUAAAAGCAUAAUCCUCUCUUGUUAAAAGAAGUAGAAGAAUCUAUAUCACAGUUUUCCUACAUUUUCUCCUGUCCUCCCACUUGUCUUUUUCUGUAACAACUUCACCUCCAUACUCUCAUAAGAAGCUCUGCCUAACAAAAUUCUUUGACCAUUCAUUAUUUCACUUUUAACCAACUACUAGUUAUGUACAUAAUUCUAUGUCUCUGGUAAAACAGAAUACUAUUUCAUUUGGGCCUCACUAUGUUUCACUUGGCCUGAGAUUUUCUUUAGUAUCAAUAUGUUGGCCAGAAUGACAGGGUUCUUAUCCUGAAGUCAGCAAAGGUUUGUUACGCAUUUCCGCUAGUCCAGCUAUCUGUCCAAGAAGAAUGCUCCUCCAGUCCUUCAUGUACUUUGGAAUCACGCCUAGAUAAUGAUUAUUUAUGUUAAGAGUUAAGAUUUUGAGAUUCCUCUUCCAUUUCACUCACCUUUCAGCUGAUAUAGCACAUUGUUCUGUCAAAAGUGAUUUGACAGGAAGAAAGUGAGGAGAGAAAAAGGAGAGGAAAAUGACCUGUCUGUCCUUAAAAUGAUCUGGCAUAUACAUCCUGUUAAGAUACACAGACAGACUUCAUUUCCAGUAACUCGCAAAUUUACACAGGAUACAUCCUCAGUGGAGAAAAAAAGAUUAGAGCAAAGACACCCCCCACAGAAGAAAAGGCUGUGGAGGAUGCUUUAGUAAUGCAAUGUCUCGCAGUUACACAACAGUGUUAUUUCAGUCACAAGACACAGUGUGUUAUGUCCACCACUACUGACUGGUCUUUUGGCAGCUGACAUCUCAAAACAUUCCACAAUGGAAAUGCAAUGAACAUUAUCAGCAAUAUACUGAAAUUCUCUUAAGAUCACUAUGCAAAACCAGAAUAGAAUAUUUUAACUGCAAACAGCUAUUUUGGCUGAAAUAUCAUUCUAGGGGCAUUUUAUAUGAUAGUGUCCAACAGUUGUGUCCAAGGAUGAAAUGGUAAACUCAGAUUAUGCAGCAUUAUGAUGGGUCAAAAAUGUGAUUAAUCUAGAGUAAAAAUUGACUAAGAUGGCCAGGAGUAUCAACAAAAAAAGUUUUGUAUAAAAACUGUGCAAGAUGUUUCCUCUGGAACACAAGAGACAGGCAAGGCAUGGAAAGAAUAAAGGUCCUCGUUAUUGUCAGAUAUUCAGAGAAAGCAACAGAACCUUGACAAAGAUGGACAUUGGUUAGGAUAAAAUCUCAAUUUUUUAACACUAAUUAUUUCUCUCUUCAUUGCAUUCAAUUUAUCUGCAAAAGGUCAGUCAAUCUAUUUGCGUACUGUGACGUAAUAAAACUUCAUAGACUUGGAUGGGUUGUGGCAAUACUUAUCGAUACAAGCUGUAGGAUUCAAGGAUAGAGCACAGUCCUGCUGAAAAGGACUUGGGGAUACUGGUGGAUGGUAAGCAGGACACAAACCAUCAAUGUAUCUUUGCAGCCAAGAAAGCCAAACAUAUCCUGGGCUGCAUCAAAAAAAACAUGACAGGCAGGUCAAGGAAAGUGAUCCUGCCCCUCUACUUCGCACUGGUGAGGCCCCAAUUGGAGUACUCUGCCCAAAUGUGCAGUUCUCAAUACAGAAUAGACAUGGCCUUGUUGGAAAGUAUCCAGAGGAAGGCCACAAAAACUAUCCAAGGGAUGGAAAACCUUCCCUACGAAGACAGGCGGAGAGAGCUGGGGCUGUUUGACAUGGAAUUGCUGGAGCAGGUGCAGAGGAGGGCCACAGAGAUGAUCAAAAGGGCUGGAGCACCUCCCCUGUUUGGACAGCUGGGAAAGCUGCAGCUCUUCAGCCUGGAUAAAAGGCGGCUCCAUGGAGACCUUAUGGCAGCCUUCCAGCACCUGAAGAGGGCCUACAGGAAAGCUGGGGAGGGACUUUUUGUAAGGGCAGGUAGCAAGGGAAAAUGGUUUCAAACUGGAAGAAGGAAGAUUUAGUCUAGAUAUUGGGAAGAAAUUCCUUACUGUGAGGAUCGUGAGACACUGCAACAGGUUGCCCAGUGAAGUUGUGGAUGCCUCCUCCCUGGAAGCAUUCAAAACAAGGCUGGACAGGACUCCGAGCAACUUGGUCUAGAGGAAGGUGUCCCUGCCUUUAGUAGGGGGAGUUGGAACUACAUGAUCUUAAAGGUUCCUUCCAACCCAAACUACUCUAUAAUUACAUCAUUCUGUGAUUAAACCCAGAGAAGAUUAGGCUUCAGGGGGGCUUGACAGCAGCUUAACAAAAUCUACAAGAAAGAAGGGACUUUCUAGUGGGGCUUGCUCUGACAGGACUGAGAUGGCUGUAAAUUAAAGGAGGGAAGAUUAACAUUGGAUAUAAGGAGUAAGAUUUUAUAAUAAGGGUGGUUAGGCACUGGAACAGGUUGCUCAGAGAGGGUUUGCAUGCUCCAUUCUUGGAGACAUUUGAGGCCAAGCUGGAAUGGACUCUAAGCAAUAUGUCCUAGCUGCAGAUGUCUCUGAAAAAGCAUGAAAAAAGAAAGCAAUGCUUAAAAAAAAAUAAAAUUGAGUGAGGUUUUGCCAAACACUCUAAUAAAAGGACACCUACAGGAUUAACAGCAAGGUACUAAAGUAGAAAUCCGGUAUAUGUACAGCCUUACUGAAAUAGCCUUUAGAGGGAUGAGUACACAAUUAACUCUAAGAUAAAACAAUAAUUAAGAACUCCAGAACUGUGACAAUAAAUAUUUAGGGCAACUCUGACUAUGCAGUCCAAACAUAAAUUCAUUGACAUUCUUCUAUCUCAAAUGUUAGAAGAAAUAGUAUAUGGAAUGAAGUAUUUGGGGUAGAACUUUUAGAAAAUACAUUAAAAUAGGAAAUACUUUAUGAAAUCUGAGAUAAUUUGAAACCUGAUCCUUGGUCCUCUGAGUCAUAAAUCUGUCAACACAUGUAUAGCAUUUCUUUCAAAAUAACUGAAAUCUUCGUUGCUCUGAAGUUUAGGGAUGCAGUGGAUAAGUAGUCUUAUCUCCCACAACACAAACAUCUACUUAAAGGUGUGUUUUCCAGGAACUGAAUAUGCCCAUUCAAUUACACAACUGCAAGUAUAUACCUAUGAAAAGUUGCAAGUAUAAAAAAUAUAAUCCAUAAAAUUCAUAUAGCUGCUGAUGAAAAUUUUGACUAGCACAUUCCUGCAGACUGGUAUUAGUUAGACUACUUCCUUCACCCAGGAGAGUGGAUUUUUCAUAGUAUCUCUUAUCUUCAGUAAAGGGUGAGGUUGUGGAAACAAAAGCUAUGUAGGGAAAAAAAACUGCACAAAAUCUGGGAAUUUUCAGCAAAAUUUACUAAGCAACCCACAUAAACUAGAAUUUGUGCAUUGUGGAUUUGUUGUUGUUGCUGCUGUUAUUUGCCACCUUUUUUCUCUUCCUAACAAAAAAAUAUAUCUUCAUCACCCAGCAGAUCCAUUCAAAAGUUGCUCCUUGUAAGCCCAAGACAUGUUCAUCUGCAGCCACUGAAUAUUACUUGAAAAUUCUAUCAAGUUAUAUUCUGAAGUUCAUCUUUGAUAAUGUCUUGGAGAGCUACUGCAGAGAGGCAUGAACACAUAUGCCUGCAGAAGAAACAUAUUAGUACUGCGGACAUAGCCACAUUCUUCUGCAUCAAAAAACACUUUCACUCUUGCAUACAUUCAUUCUAAUUAAGAUCUCCCUAAACUCUGGAAUGAAUUCAGGCCAGAUAAUCAGUGAUAUUCUCAUUACGAAAUCUCACACCAGAAUACAUAUACAUUUUAUAUACCUCACCUACCCACUGCUGGAUUUGCCCUACAAGUGCAUUUCAGUCAUCCACAACAAAUUUAGCAAUCUAAAUCUAACUCUUAAUGCUGUGAACAACUUUACUUCUUUUACUCCAGAUUAGGUUUGGUAAAGACAAGAUUUUUUUUUAAUACCAGAAUCCCUUAACUCCUGCAGCUAUUACUCACAUUAGAAAUAAGAAUAAAAAAUUCUGAAAGUUGAAAGAGUCAGCAGCAUAAACUGAUCAUGUAAGAUGUAAAGUUCUGUAUAUUCUCAGUACAUAAUUUAAGACAAAAAAAUGCUUCUCAUUUCGCAUUUUCAGGAGGAGGAAUUAAACUGUGGCAAAAGCCUUUAACAGCAAUGGACGCACCAGCUCAAAAGUAUUUGUCUACAGAACAGUUACUGGAUCUUUAAAGAGGUGUAGCUGUUGUACAACAGGAACCAAUUUGGAGCCCUGCACUUUGAACUACAAUUUGCAAAUGAUGCCCACAGUGAAAAGAAGUCAACAUUACAUCCUCCACCUGUGCCACCAGUGAUUUCCAGGACCGAAUUAACAGACACCAAAAGCUCAGAGAAGAAGCCACUGUUUAUUGAUUAAACCUACAUACUCAUCUAGAUUAAACCUACAUACUCAUUUAAAUAUGAAGUAAAAUGCUGUGAAGCAAUAAGAUAAUAAUCUUUCAUGAGCACAUAAACGCUAUCUUUCUGACAUAUUGUAGGUAAGUCCUUACAUUCCAUGUGAUUUUGUGUGUUUGCAAAAAAGAAAGAAAAUAAAAAAUGGGACUAGGAAUUAUAAAAAUAUGCACCAUAUAUGACUCAACUUUAAGAUCAAGUCAACCACAGCAUCCUCCUCUUAAAACUACUGUAUUUAACAAAAGGUAGGGAGAGGAGCAAUCCUAUGGUAUCAGCUUAGAGCCAACUUAAAGCACAGAAGAUAUGUCAUUUUUACAUCCAAGUGAGAAAAAAACAUCACACAGCUAGCCCAAGAGAGUAAAGCCCAGUUGAAAUUCCUAUUAAAAAAACUUUUGCUAAAUGAUCAGAGAAACAGGUUUGAAUCAGACUAAAACUUUUGCCUUUGAAGGCUCAGAGCACCUCAUGGAAAACAAAUUCCUAUUUGCACCUCUGUCUGACAUGGUAUUACUAAGCACUCACAUCUGUCUUAAGACCCAGCUUUCAGCUUGGGAGCUGCAUUACUUUUAAUGUACAGAAUUUUGAUUUAAUAAGUGAUUACACUGGCAGCCUCAUUUAAGAACUGGUUUCAUAGGUGCAUUUCAUAAAGAACAUGAUUCUCAGGGCACAUAUUUACUGCUUGGUAACUAUUAAUGAAAAAUAGCAUGUCAUAUUGGACAGCUGAACAAUUAACUUACAGAAGUACCAGCAGAAAAUGCAUCUGACGUACAAAAUGCUCCUCAUCUCAGUGAAAUAUCAUUUUAAAAAAAAGAAAAAUCCUGAAGAUAUGCUAAAAGAUGCUUUAAUAGCCAAGCUAUUAAAAUAUGUAUGCUAUGAAUUUUUCAUUUCCAUCUGAACCUAAUACAUCCUCCAACAUGACACUAGUUUGCAUACCACUUCUCUUUAAGCUAAUAUACUGGUCUUCAAACAAAUCAAAACCUGCUUUGGUAUAAUAGUGUUGGGUCAGUAACACCAACUUCUAAAUAGUUCACAAUUUAUCAUUUAAAUUGAAGGAGGAGGGGACACAUAACAACAUGGCAUAAAAGCCCAACUCACAAACCCAGGCCAAACACCAGAAAACUUCAGAAAAAUCAUUGCAUGCCAAAAAGCUUGCAUAAAAAUAAUUGAUUAGAAUGUCCUAAGAAGGGAUAAAGUGAAGAGAGACUACACCGGAGCGCAUCUUCUCUGACCUCCUGGUGGUAGUUUUAUUCUUACCAAGGUUACUACUUUAUAAGGUCCUGAUUUUGUCUGGGAUGAGUUAAUUUUGUUCACAGUAGCUAGCAUGUACUAUGUUAUGAAUCUAGGAUGAAAAUAACACUGAUAACACACUGGUACUUAAGCUCUGCUGCACAGAGCAAAGAACAUUUCAUCUCCUCCCACUGCUCUGCCAGCAAGAAGCUAGAGGUGCAUAAAGAGCUGACAGAGGACAGAACCAGGGGAGCUGACCUAAACAGGAAAAAUAAGUGUCCCAUAACCUAUCAUAUCAUGCUCAACUGUAAAACUGGGCCAAAGAACAAGUAAUUGGGACACCUGGCAUGAUGGUGUUUGCUUUCCCAACUAACAGCUACGUGCAAUGAGCUCUGCUAUUCUGGAAGAGGCUAAACACAUUGACUGCUGAUGGGACACAGUGCAUUGUCUUGCCUUCACAAACCGCUUUUGCUUUACCUACAAAACUGCAUUUCAACCCACAAGUUCUGGUACUUUUUUUACCUUUGCAAUUUUCUUUCCCAGUGCUGCAGGGCCUGAGUGAUUGAGAAGCUGGGUAGUGCUGAGCUGGUUGCCGGGUUAAAACAUUACACUGUCAAAUACAACACUGCUUUCUCACCACCUUUUGAUUUUCAGGAAGGCUGGCUUGAGAUAUAUAACAGUCCUGUAAGUCAUUGAUAAUUAGCUCUUCCAUCUACAGGUAAACAGCUUACAGAACUGCCAGACUAGCUAAAGAUGAUGACUGAAUCAUCUGACAACUUGGUCUCUUAAAACAUGACAGAUACUAGCUGUGAAAUGGAGAGAAUGUUAGCUCAGCUUUUAAGGAAAAUUUAAGUAUUUUCUAUUCUAGGACAUAAAACAACACUGCAUGAUUGUCAAUUCUGAAUAGGAGGCAGUGGCACCAGUAGCUCAAUUGUUAGUAUAAUAACACAUUUACUAAUAUCAAAUACUCUUUUCUCCUACCCCUUAGCAAAGGAGCUUUUACAUAGAACACAGAAAUAUUAAAAGAAAGGAAGACAAAUGAAACUGAUCUUACAAUAACAGAUUAAUUUCUUUAAGAUGGUGUUCACAAUUUAUUCUUUCAGUUUGCCUUUAGAAAUCUGAGCUUCACUUCUGUAAAACACUGAGACAAGAUUUAAUGCUACACUGACAAUAAAACUUUCAAAA